Molecule: non-coding RNA, 938 nt
Organism: Nicotiana tabacum (common tobacco)
Lineage: Eukaryota; Viridiplantae; Streptophyta; Magnoliopsida; Solanales; Solanaceae
Source: RefSeq, a predicted model, not a curated record
UCCGUGCUCUUGUCUAAAUUAUAUAUCUGUAUUGAAAAAUUUAUUAGAAUAUUUACUUUGUAACCUAAUUCAUCGAUUCAGUUAUUAUUAUUUAUUAACUUCACAUUGUUUAGCAACCCAUAAACUAAAAAUUGUGUAUGCGCGGACGAUCAUUUUUGAGUUUUUGAAGAUUCAUCACUUGGGUUAAGAGGGUUCUCCAUCUCAUCCAAAGAUGGCGGGUAUUAUUUCCCCAAUCCAAAAUUAUAAGGGGUUAACUGGAAUUUACUUUCUAAGUUUCCUCAAUCUCAAAUCUUCCAUGUAACCGGUGGGUAACUCCCAAAAAAGGAAAAAUUUACCGUGGAAGAAAUCGGCGAUCAAUUUCCGAUUAAUCCUUCUCAGGUUAAAUUUCGUCGAUGAAACGGCAAUGGGUGAUACUGGUAUUUUCCGGUUUUACGGGUUCGGCGAGUGAUUUAUUGAGCUCGCCGAGUAGUUCAUUUGGGAGAAUUACCGACUAGGUUAAUGUAGCUCCGGCGAGGAGGUCUCUCUUAUCAAAUUCAAGAUAAGUUUGUAGAUCUUUUCUUGGCGGUGAAUGACUGCAAUGUGAAAGAUGCUCCGGCUUUCCUCAUCAACCUUCCAAAUGAGAUCUGGAUAAGACUGAAUAAGCUCAACUAUGAACUUAAAAUUUCCCAACUCUGCUGCUACAAACAAUGGCCGCGACGGACUUCUAAAUUCCAAGUUCAAUUUUGUCAGAAAAUGCCAAGGGCUUUCGUGCUAAAACAUGAAGUAUUGUGUCUCCAUUUUGAUCUCGUUCAAUGCCUAAUUCAGGCAUGUGCUGAAGUAUAUGUAAAGCAACAUCUGUUCACAGCGAUUGCCAGUUCCAGUGGACUCAUAAGUUUAACCAGUUCUUCAACAAACUGAACCUUGUUAGCCCCGGCUGCAAUAUGAAGAGCAGUCUCCCA